GCUUGUGGCUUUACCACCCUGAACAUGCCUAAUCUCAUCUGAUCUCGGUAGCUAAGCAGGAUCAGGCCUGGUUAGUUCUUGGAUGGGAGGCUGCCUGGGAAUAUCAUGUGUUGGGAAGUC
RNAcentral lists this ribosomal RNA (120 nucleotides) under Salmo salar (Atlantic salmon). The record is from RNAcentral. Lineage: Eukaryota; Metazoa; Chordata; Actinopteri; Salmoniformes; Salmonidae.